Cydia pomonella (codling moth) is the source of this 7729-nucleotide long non-coding RNA. RefSeq lists it as uncharacterized. NCBI's taxonomy places the organism in Eukaryota, Metazoa, Arthropoda, Insecta, Lepidoptera, Tortricidae. The record is from RefSeq and is a predicted model, not a curated record. The transcript has 2 exons.
AGACCAGCACCGUACUACUGAGCGACGGGAACAAGGUAUGUAAACAACGUGUGGGGCCAGUGCACAGGCGGCAGCGGAAGCGGGACACCGUCAUCACACAAGAACAACAGAAGACCAGCACCGUACUACUGAGCGACGGGAACAAGUUCUCCUCAAUCGUCGACGGCGUAAAAAACAACAACCUAGAGAAAGAGACGGCAGAUACCAUCGUCGAGCAGAACGGCAACGUCGAACUGAAGGAUGUCGUCAACGAUAAUUAUAUCGACGAGGUCGUUGCUCAAGUGUAAAUAUAGUUUAUAUUUAUGCUGCAGAUUUUUUCAACGCAACUAUGUUUGCCAUCAGAGGGCCUACCGCGAAACGUUUGACGUGUUGCCUCUCUGUCGCACUUGUAAAUGCGUACGUAAGCGUGACAGGGAGGCAACACAUCGAACGUGGUUCGCGGUAGGCCCUCAGGGCCAAAAUUCUGUUCGUGGUCCUGUUUAUUGUCCCCCAAAAAUGUGACAGAGUGGAGAUUUUUGUGUGAGAUUUUUUUUUCUCAUGUAUAAUGUAAUCUACAGCUAGAAAGACAUACAACAGCACUCGACUUUUUCUUAUAGAAGACAUAGAUUUUGUGCUCGAAAAUAUUCCAAUAUUUAUCUCUAUCAGACGUCCCUAAACUGAGGCGGUUGGUAGAUAUGCCAAAUAAAAAAUGUUAAUGUUACAAAAUUAUGUAAUUUUUAUCUUGAAUUAUUAUGAUUUUUAUUUUAUUUCUAUUUACUAGUUUAUUUGUAAUUAAUAUUAUUUUGUAUAUGUUUUGACAUGUUUUUUCCAUGUCCUGGCGUUUGGCCUUUGCUGUGAGCCGGACAUGUGUUUGAAAAUAAAUCAAUAAUAGAUGCGAGCGUGACGGAGUGGUCAGAAACAAGAUCGAAAAGAAUGUUGGCUAUGAAUUAUUGGAAAUAUUUUAACACGAUUUGAUGUAUAUCAACCUCAGAUCCACGUUAAUUUUUUUUUCGAAUUUUUAAUUAUUAUAAAAGAUCUUCCUCGCGUUGUCCCAGCAUUUUGCCACGGCUCAUGGGAGCCUGGGGUCCGCUUGACAACUAAUCCCAAGAUUUGGCGUAGGCACUAGUUUUUACGAAAGCGACUGCCAUCUGACCUUCCAACCCAAAGGGUAAACUAGGCCUUGUUAGGAUUAGUCCGGUUUCCUCACGAUGUUUUCCUUCACCGAAAAGCGACUGGUAAAUAUCAAAUGAUAUUUCGUACAUAAGUUCCGAAAAACUCUUUGGUACGAGCCGGGGUUUGAACCCGCGACCUCCGGAUUGCAAGUCGCACGCUCUUACCGCUAGGCCACCAGCGCUUUAAUUAUUAUAAAAGAUAAGAAUUUAAAGUUUGUAUGCAAUUUGUUUUUCGCUCUUAUCUCUUAUAACGACCAAAAAUUAAAUAAAAGUCAAACGAAGGGACCUUUAUGAAUAUACAUCAAAUUGUGUAAAUAUACCUUCUAUAAUGCUACUGUCCAGAGAGGAAAAUGGGGACUGGGUUUGUGUGGAGAAGCGGAAAGGGGCCACCCUUUCCCCUUAAGCCACAGACAAAUAUAUUGUAAUAGACCAUAGAUAAAUUCAAAAUUCAAAUAUUUAUUCUGCAAGUAGGCCUCAAGGGCUCUUUUACAAGUCAAUACAACAUUUAUAGUAACAUAUAGUGACAUGAAAAAUACAUAACAACAUUUAUAAAUACAACAGCCAAUACCUGGGUAAACAUUACAUUAUAAUAAUCUUAAAAUAAAUAAUUACUACAAUACAAUAGAGAUGUAUAGUCUCUAUGGUUAAAAAUACAUUAAAUCUGGAGAUGUAAAAGGUCCCCAAUGUCAGAGUACUAAUACUAAUAAGAUCUGAACAACAACUGCGUUACUUUACUAAAACCUUACAUUUUAUAAGAAAAAAAAAUUGCGAGAGUAACAUUGGUUAGGGGUAAACAACAAGACACUUUUGGAGUGAAUAUUUUAAGUAAAUAUUACCGUAUUUUAUAUCAUUUUUAUAAAUUAUGCUAAUAAAUCUUUGGAGCAAAAUUGUAACGCAGUGGUAAUAAUAACAGAGUUGCCUACAGUAAAAAUUUGAAUUAAGGAAAAAUAAAUAAUUUUACAGUACAUAUGGUGCUACUUUAUCGCACUAGUGCGAAAAUUAGCAUAUUAUGUUACUGUGUCGAACAUUUAAAGGGCCAUAUGUACUGUAAAACGUUGUACGAUACAUGUGCGAAUAGGUAAUUCGCAACUCGUGUCGAUUUAAAACACUCCCUUCGGUCGUGUUUUAAUUUAUCGCCACUCGUUUCGAAUUUCCUAUUUUUCGCACUUGUAUCGUAAUGUACUAUUAUUAAAUGUUAUAUAUUACAUUGUUUGUUUAUUAUAUGAAACUUUAAUAUAAACGUAAUUUUCUUAAAAGUUGUCUGAAGUUUUUGCGUUGGAAAUAGAUUUCAAUUUGAAAAGGGACAAGUUUUUAGGCAUUUAAAAGUAUUUUGGUCUACAAUUCAUUUACAUAAACGUACCUUUUACACUAACAUUAUGCCAAUACAUUAUAAACCUUAAAAAUAAGAUCACAUAGACAGCGUCAUAAAACUCAAUAUUUUUUUGGUGUCCAUGACGACUUUAGCAAACUUAUCGAUGCUGCAAAUUUGCAUAUCAUUGAAAAUUUGAUUUGACAAAACGAUCUACCGUAGGUAACCCUAUCUUCACCGCUGGUGCCAGGGCCGGAUAUAGGGGAGGGCAACCGGGGCUACUGCCCCGGGCCUCCACAAAAGAGGGGCCCCCCCACAAUAGAGAAUGCGGUAAAUUUACCAUUUUAUUUGGAAAAAAUUUGGGGCCAGGGGGCCUCCACUUCUUUAUUGCCCGAGGCCUCCAGACCUCUAAAUCCGGCAUUGGCUGGUGCCCUCCGCCUCCAGAAUGCCCUGUAUAAAUAGGUAUGUUGAUUUGCAAAUUGUAAGAAAAAACUGGUGAUUUUUGACCAAUGUUUUUUACUAAUGUGUACUUACACUAUAGUUAAUAAUUGAAAAAGUCUGCAGAAUAAAGGUGGUCAUCUCCAUUUACUGUUUCUGGUAAAAGUUUCCACGAAAUCUAAUCUUCCAAGACCUAGUUACUGUAUACCAAUUUGGAGAUGUCUCAACUGACUUAGAAUAAUGUUGUUUAUUUUUAUUACUUUUAUAUUUUUAUUUUAUAUAGAUCUUAUUAAUCUAAGACCGAAAAGAUCUCAUUUUCUUUUAAGUCUUUGACCAAUUAAUGUCAUAUAAGAGACAGUGAGAUAUUUUAUUAUUAUUAUUGUAAUUAUUUGUUUAAGCUUUACCAGAAUAGUUUAAACUAUAUUUUAGUAGUAAUACCGAAGAAAAUUAGAAAUAGAGGUGGAUUGUCAAACAAAACUUGUAGCCACAGUAAAUUUACUGCCAUCUUUUGACAUUUGAUUAAAACUUUUAGAACACCAUUUGACUUUGAUCCUUAUUAAUAUAUAUAUCAAAAAGUGGUGCCAUCUAAUAGAUCAAAGACCAAAGGUAUGGCGGCAUCGUUUCAACCCAUGGCGCCACAACCUUUAGCCGGUGCCCGGUAAGAUGGCGCCACUUUUUGAUAUUUAACAAAUUUAACACAUAUACAGUGAAAUAAAUAAGGAUUACAGUCAAAUGGCGUUCUUAGUUUCAAUCGUGUCGAAAGAUAGCAGUAAAUUUACUGUGGCUACAAGUUUUCGUUGACAAUCCACCUCUAUUUCAAAUUUUCUUUAAUAGUACUUAAUCAUAAUCAUUUUUCAUUUGAUCAAAAUUCUAUGUACCUAACUUCUUGCCUUAAAAAACAACAAAAGUUGUAGAGCAUUAUACAUAAGCUUUUUGUAAAUAUUUUAUUUUUCUGGCAAAAUUGACGAAAAAAUUGAUUGUAACUCUUAAUUCUCAUAAUUAUUCAACAAGACUUCGUUGAUUUUAUACCUAUUCCAAUGAACAUUCCUUUGAAGUAUACUUAAUUUAUUAAGAAAAAAAUAUUUAAUUUAAAAUAAUUGGCCUCAUUCGGCCUAAAAUGACUUAAUCUCAAAGUUUAUUUAAAAUCUCCAUAGAUUUAUGUAGGUUAAUGGCCCUAGUGAAAAAGGGUACAAGUCUCUGGCAGCGCAGGUGUAAAGGGGUGUAAGUUCCACGUAACACUUAUGCCCAGGGGUCGGACAAAAAGUGCGCAUGACGUCAAACCACUUAUAGGAUGAUUUCAAAUACAUAGUAUUUUUGAUUUUCAUAAACAAUUAUCACUUAUCAUUUAUCAACCUCUUUAUUAAACGAUAUCGCCACUUGAAAUGAGUAAGUACGUUUUUGACUGAUACAUUGUCAAUCAGAUGAACAAUUAUUAAUAAAUUGACUUCGUUACUGUUUAGCUAUUGUAUCUUCACGAUUAUAUUUAGCUAAAAUUUAUAUUUACUAAUGUAUAAGAAAACGCUCUAAAAUGUCAUGUCAUCUUUACUCGAAUAUUGUGGCAAUUUUCCGUUUUUGGAGGUACGUGACAAACACGUAUACUGCUAAUCUUACCUACUGUUCCCACUUUUGACUAUUAAACCUAUUUAUCUGAGGAUCCCACAGACUUGUUCUAACUAAUUUCAAAUAAUUAUACCUUAUGGUAACAAGUUUCGUGAAAUUUAUUUUAUUCACUACAUCACCCUACCACCUGUAUUAUUAAUUCCAUGGAUUUAUUUACGUUUAUUUUGUUACUUCAUUAAUACUACAUGUCACACAAGUUUAAAUACAAACUCAAACAUCAUCCUGUGUGUAAGAUUACGUCAUUUUUACGUCAUCCGCACUUUUUGUCCGACCCCUGUUAUGCCCUUAUACACCUAAACUGCCAGAGACUUGUACCCUUUUUCACUAGGGACACAGUUUAAGUAGAUAUUAGUUGUUUAAACUCAAAGGGGCUUUGUAUGAGACGCUUAUUUAUUUGAAACUAUAUGUUUUUUUUAAAUGUUAUUAUAUAUAAUAAAGAAUUUAUUAUAAUGUAUAAACCUAUCUCAAUCAUUCUUAGUUCCUUCUGACUUUUUCCUAUCGUAUAUGGAAGACAAAAUAGACAACUAUAAAAUAAACAACUCUACAGUCGCUUCAGAUAUAUCGUAGCGGCCAAAGUGCUCAUAAAUAUCUGAACACGCAUUCUAACUGUUCAGAUAUUUGUGAGCACCCUGGCCGCUCCGAUUUAUCUGACGGCGACUAACAGCAUCCUGUAAGGUCCCUUUUCGUUUGAACGAUUAUUAAACCGUAUUAUUUAAAAUGUAAGUGAAUUUUAGUCAUAGAGCGUUUUAGCUGGUCUGAAACUUUAUUUAUAAUUAUUUUGGUAUUUUUUAUUUAUUUAUAUCGAGAUCAAUGAUUUUGCUAUUGAGUGUUGUUUUUAUAUAACAUAAACUAAAACUACAGUACUGUAAACUUUUUAUUUCUCAGUAGAAAUGUCUUAAACAAGACUUUUUUCUAUAUUUGUACGUAUGGUUCUGUUAGAGACGGUGAUUGCAAGUUUAAUCCAAUAACUAAAAAGCUGGACAAGUGCGAGUUGGACUAGCCUACCGAGGGUUCCGUACUUUUUAGUAUUUGUUAUAGCGGCAACAGUAAUACAUCAUCUGUGAAAAUUUCAACCAGGGAUCGGAAACCGGUAUUUUUUCUAUGGGAACGAAAACGGUAUUUUUUCGUUCUUUGUUAAUUAUUUCAUUUCUAAUCGGGCAAUCUAAUAAUACGAAGUCGUUAUCUAAAAACACAACCGAGUCCUAUAUUUGGAGUAUAAAAUAAACCGAAAUAUAUGUUUAUUUCAAAGUUUUUCCAAAAAACCGGUUCCGAUCCCUGAUUUCAACUGUCUAACUAUCACGGCAGCCAAACCCGGAAUUUAACGGAGUUUUAAAAAAUACACACAAAAAUCCUUCUAUGAUGUAGCGAAAAGGAUACUGUUUUAAUAAUGUACAGUAGUAUUGCUGUAGAAAAAUGAUAUUUACCUACUAUGGGUUUCAAACAUACAGAGACCGCUAUUUAAGAUUACUCUUGUAAUCAUCGACUCAUUCCAAGGCCAGGCUCGGAAACCGGUUAAAUUUCCAAACCGUUAUCAUGUACUUGGCGCAAAACCUUUUGAUUUCGGUUUCGCUCGAAAAACCGGUUUUUAUGAGACCAGUUCUUGUCAAAGUAACCGGUUUCUUCCUAUGUCUGUGUCUAUGUUUACGUGGCACACCACCAGACCGGCCGGCCGUUUCGUCGUAUGUCGAAUAAACCGGUUUUUUUAGGUUACAAAAAUGUUCGCGUUCUUAUAAAAGUUCGGAAGAAAACCGAAAUAAACCGGUUUUUACCUGUAUUUUAUAAACCGAGUUCGACAUAUGACCUUUAAUGUGUUUACAUCUCUUUCUGCGGAGUAGUUCCCUCGAAAGUAACUCAUCAAAUUGCUUUCAUGGGAAUACAAUGUUCCCUCAACUUAUUACCCUGAAGAAAGGGUCAUAUUCUCGACCUCAACGGCAUGUCCUAGCCGGAAUGUCUAGUCUAAAAGGUUCUCGAUUUCUAUAUCAAUGUUUGACAGCUUUUUUUCAAGACUAGUAAUAAUGUGAUUUGAGCGCCUGUCAAAAUUGAAGAAGUAUUUUUUAUAUAUAUUUUGCUGCAAUACUAUAUUGACGGCGUUGCUAUGGAUAUUGUAAGUGUUAGUGGUAUAUACGGGGAUGAGUCUUCUGUCGACGGGGAAUCGCAAAAGAAACCUAAUGAACUUGAGAUUACGGUGAAAAUUCAAUGCCGAAGGUUUCCUAACGGCUUUGUUGAGGGACCUGAAACGUGGAUAGCUCAAGUCGAUUCCAUGUCGAUGAAGAUAGCAAGACAUUAAGAGCACUUUUUGAUGUCAACGGACUUUGGCAAAUGUACACGCUCAUCGAAAGAUCCCGAGACAGGCCGAGAACGAGUGUGUACAUAUUGCUCCCUUCUGGUCUUGUCUCGCCCUUGCCCGAUUGAGUCGGAACGGUGCCGAGACUCGACGAGUGUGUACGGUCAUGUCCGAAAAUAUCGAUACGGACAAAGUGCCAAAAAUAUGUAUCUACUCUAAUAUAUGGGCCAUAAGGUUGGGUAUACAUACUUUUGGCACUUCGAUCGUGUCGAUGUUGUCAGACGUGACUGUACAGCCGGCAUAUGAAUUUGACCGCCACAGUCGGGCAUAGCCGACAAAUGUUGCAGUGUAAAAGGGUGAAUCAACUUUUUUUGUUUUGUUAUCCUGUCCCGUUGUCCAAGGGACAACAGUGGCACAGUUUGUUUGAAGAGACGUUGUAUGCCGUUCUAUUAACAUGCUUAGUAGGGGGCCCAUUAUGGACAUUGGUUAUAACGACCACAAAAACGCAAGUUUAAUACAUUUAAGUACCAUAAAAUCAGUAUUUCAAUGAACUUUUGUCCCCUGGACAACUAAUCGUAACCAUGGCAACGAGUGACUCUAAAAAGUUGAUUCUCCCAAAACGAACCGUUAUAUAAUGUAAUGAAGUUUACUAUUAUGUGUUUUAUAAAAUAGUGGUGGCGGUCAAAAUGUAAACCGAACGCACGCGCCGGCGAAACAACGCUAGCGUUGUCUACGCUUAGAAAUGAUUAAAAAAAAGUGAAAACUGAUAAAAGUGCUCCGACCCUAUUUAGGAGAUAUUAAUAGUAAAUGUGUCAGUGUACGGGACUAGCCCGCCCUACGCCACGAGUCGAAUAUAUGUUACCAUUUUUUUAAAUAACUUGGCACUGUGUCUGUUUGAAAAAUAUAGUUUGGUUUUUAUGAAGACAA